AUUGAACGCUGGCGGCAUGCCUUACACAUGCAAGUCGAACGGUAGAGUAGCAAUACUUGAGAGUGGCGAACGGGUGAGUAAUAUAUCGGAACGUGCCCAGUCGUGGGGGAUAACGUAGAGAAAUUUACGCUAAUACCGCAUACGAUCUAAGGAUGAAAGCGGGGGAUUCGCAAGAACCUCGCGCGAUUGGAGCGGCUGAUAUCAGAUUAGGUUGUUGGUGAGGUAAAAGCUCACCAAGCCGACGAUCUGUAGCUGGUUUGAGAGAACGACCAGCCACACUGGGACUGAGACACGGCCCAGACUCCUACGGGAGGCAGCAGUGGGGAAUUUUGGGACAAUGGGCGAAAGCCUGAUCCAGCAAUGCCGCGUGCAGGAAGAAGGCCUUCGGGUU
RNAcentral lists this ribosomal RNA (391 nucleotides) under uncultured bacterium. RNAcentral describes it as "bacterial SSU rRNA". It matches the Rfam family "Bacterial small subunit ribosomal RNA", at positions 30 to 424 of the family's 1533-position model. The record is from RNAcentral.